RNAcentral lists this ribosomal RNA (428 nucleotides) under uncultured bacterium. Its description in RNAcentral is "partial 16S ribosomal RNA". It matches the Rfam family "Bacterial small subunit ribosomal RNA", at positions 354 to 796 of the family's 1533-position model. The record is from RNAcentral.
GUGGGGAAUAUUGGGCAAUGGGCGCAAGCCUGACCCAGCAACGCCGCGUGAGGGAAGAAGGCUUUCGGGUUGUAAACCUCUGUCCUUGGUGACGAAGAAAGUGACGGUAGCCAAGGAGGAAGCCCCGGCUAACUACGUGCCAGCAGCCGCGGUAAUACGUAGGGGGCGAGCGUUGUCCGGAAUUACUGGGCGUAAAGGGUGCGUAGGUGGCCUUUUAAGUUGGAUGUGAAAUACCCGGGCUUAACUUGGGGGGUGCAUCUAAUACUGGGAGGCUAGAGUGCAGGAGAGGGAAGCGGAAUUCCUAGUGUAGCGGUGAAAUGCGUAGAUAUUAGGAGGAACACCAGUGGCGAAGGCGGCUUUCUGGACUGUAACUGACACUGAGGCACGAAAGCGUGGGGAGCAAACAGGAUUAGAUACCCCGGUAGUCC